GAGAGAGAGAGAGAGAGAGAGAGAGAGAGAGAGAGAGAGACAGAGACAGAGAGAGAGAGAGAGAGAGAGAGAGAGAGAGAGAGAGAGAGAGGGAUAGAGAGAGAGAGAGAGAGAGAGAGAGAGAGAGAGAGAGAGAGAGAGAGAGAGAGAGAGAGGGAGAGAGAGACAGAGAGAGAGGGAUAGAGACAGAGAGAGGGAGAGAGAGACAGAGAGAGAGGGAUAGAGAGAGAGAGAGAGAGAGAGAGAGAGAGAGAGAGGGAGAGAGAGAGAGAGAGAGAGAGAGAGAGAGAGAGAGAGAGAGAGAGAGCUCAUCACCAUUUGACACGCUAGUUCCACUAAACAGUCUUCACUAUGGCACAUUGACAACCUUUUCCCCUUUAGUGGGUUUCAAACGGAGCGGUUUAACUGACUCUGAAUAACUGCCAAGCAGGCAGGGAACAAAGGAAGGAAGAACAUAACAAGGUCUCGUUGUUCUGUACGAACUGGCAUCCCGGCUGUACGAUACAUCCUGGGCCUGUAUGUCUCAAGAGUCUCAGAGAUAAAGAGCACUGAUCUUGAAUCAGUUUUAUACAUUAUAAUGAUUAAGAUUAUACGGGCCAAAGGGAGAACUGAUCGUAGAUCAGCAACACCUACUCCGAGAGGCUUUGUGAAUACGGGCCUUGGUCCCUACUGUAGGAGAGUUCCUGUCCCUAGACAUUAACGUUGAGAGCUGCACUGUUGGUUAAAGGGGAGCUUGUAGGUAAGGUCUACACUGUUGGUUAAAGGGGAGCUUGUAGGUAAGGUCUACACUGUUGGUUAAAGGGGAGCUUGUAGGUAAGGUCUACACUGUUGGUUAAAGGGGAGCUUGUAGGUAAGGUCUACACUGUUGGUUAAAGGGGGCUUGUAGGUAAGGUCUACACUGUUGGUUAAAGGGGGGGCUUGUAGGUAAGGUCUACACUGUUGGUUAAAGGGGGGCUUGUAGGUAAGGUCUACACUGUUGGUUAAAGGGGGGCUUGUAGGUAAGCGUUUCACGGUGAGGUCUACAUGUUGUAUUCGACUCGUGACAAAUAAAGUUUGAUUUGAUUUCAAGACGUCGGAGAGCUUUUAUCAAUGACUACGUUUUGGUUUGCACUGGCAGGACAUGAACAAACUCAGACAUAAAAUAAAUACAAAUCAAUCAAAAAUAACACGUUUUAAGGAAACAAAUCACAGAUGUUUUGGGCCCAUUUCUUGAGGAUUCAUUUUCUGUCACAUUGGCCACAGAGGCCAGUUGUUCCUGACCAUGUGACCUGAACCGGCCAGUAAAAUCACCUGGUCCUACAGUACUGUACUGGUUACAGACAUAAACCAAUCACCUGGUCCUACAGUACUGCAGGGUUACAGACAUAAACCAAUCACCUGGUACUACAGUACUGCAGGGUUACAGACAUAAACCAAUCACCUGGUCUUAUAGUAUUGUACUGGUUACAGACAUAAACCAGUCACCUGGUACUACAAUACUGUACUGGUUAUAUACAUAAACCAAUCACCUGGUCCUACAGUACUGCAGGGUUACAGACAUAAACCAAUCACCUGGUCCUACAGUACUGUACUGGUUAUAGACAUAAACCAAUCACCUGGUACUAUAGUACUGUACUGGUUACAGACAUAAACCAAUCACCUGGUACUACAGUACUGCAGGGUUACAGACAUAAACCAAUCACCUGGUACUACAGUACUGCAGGGUUACAUACAUAAACCAAUCACCUGGUCUUAUAGUACUGUACUGGUUACAGACACAAACCAGUCACCUGGUACUACAGUACUGCAGGGUUACAGACAUAAACCACUCACCUGGUACUACAGUACUGCAGGGUUACAGACAUAAACCAAUCACCUGGUCUUAUAGUACUGUACUGGUUACAGACAUAAACCAGUCACCUGGUACUACAGUACUGUACUGGUUAUAUACAUAAACCAAUCACCUGGUCCUACAGUACUGUACUGGUCACAGACAUAAACCAAUCACCUGGUCCUACAGUACUGCAGGGUUACAGACAUAAACCAAUCACCUGGUCCUACAGUACUGUACUG
Molecule: long non-coding RNA, 2052 nt
Organism: Oncorhynchus tshawytscha (Chinook salmon)
Lineage: Eukaryota; Metazoa; Chordata; Actinopteri; Salmoniformes; Salmonidae
Source: Ensembl